UUAUGUGAGUCCAGUUCAAAGUAUUUAAUUUGUUUAAUUAAUAAUACUAAAGUUUAAUAAUAUAAUUUAAUGUUAAUAAUUGUGUCAGGUUUUAAGUCAUUGGAUAGAUGGAUAAAUCAACCCAAAUAACACCAGAAUCCUCACCAUCGGUAUUCAAGGACCGAGCUGAUGAAAUAAUAAAGUUAUUAAACGAAACACCAUCAGACGUGGGCUCAAGUAUAACACAGGAUACCAUCGAAAUAAGAAGUAAUAAAAGAAAAGCUCGAGAGGAACCCACCAUCAAAGGAAAUGAAAUCGCUUCCAAUCUCUAUGCAAAUAAAAAUUCUUUCGAAUUCUGGUCGUAUUGUGAUGAAGUCAUUGUAAAUGAUGUUAAAUAGCCUAAUUUGCUGAAAAUUAUUUUCAUUAAUUAAUUGAAACUAAAAUCAAACCUAACAAACUUUACAUUAAAAGUUAAUAUUUGAUGAUCUUGUAAGUCUUAAGAAAAUGAAAAUAAAGUCUCAAACUUC
Long non-coding RNA from Tetranychus urticae (two-spotted spider mite), 506 nucleotides. RefSeq lists it as uncharacterized. The record is from RefSeq and is a predicted model, not a curated record. Lineage: Eukaryota; Metazoa; Arthropoda; Arachnida; Trombidiformes; Tetranychidae.